RNAcentral lists this ribosomal RNA (374 nucleotides) under uncultured organism. RNAcentral describes it as "partial 16S ribosomal RNA". It matches the Rfam family "Bacterial small subunit ribosomal RNA", at positions 527 to 896 of the family's 1533-position model. The record is from RNAcentral.
GUAGGUGGCAAGCGUUGUCCGGAAUUAUUGGGCGUAAAGCGCGCGCAGGUGGUUCUUUAAGUCUGAUGUGAAAGCCCCCGGCUCAACCGGGGAGGGUCAUUGGAAACUGGGGAACUUGAGUGCAGGAGAGGAAAGUGGAACUCCACGUGUAGCGGUGAAAUGCGUAGAUAUGUGGAGGAACACCAGUGGCGAAGGCGACUUUCUGGCCUGUAACUGACACUGAGGCGCGAAAGCGUGGGGAGCAAACAGGGAUUAGAUACCCUGGUAGUCCACGCCGUAAACGAUGAGUGCUAAGUGUUGGGGGGGUUUCCCGCCCCUCAGUGCUGCAGCUAACGCAUUAAGCACUCCGCCUGGGGAGUACGGUCGCAAGACUG